Molecule: long non-coding RNA, 202 nt
Organism: Vicia villosa (hairy vetch)
Lineage: Eukaryota; Viridiplantae; Streptophyta; Magnoliopsida; Fabales; Fabaceae
Exons: 3
Source: RefSeq, a predicted model, not a curated record
UUUACUCACAAAAACCAUUUUGUUGAAUCCGCAUUCAGCCAUACUUUAUGCCACCAGAGCUAGUGUGUUUAUGAAGAUGAAGAAACCAAAUGCUGCUAUUCGUGAUGCUGACACUGCCUUGAAGAUUAAUCCAGACUCAGCGAAAGGAUAUAAAAUACGGGGAUUGUCAAGGGCUAUGUUUGGGACUCUAGAGAGAAUCACU